Molecule: ribosomal RNA, 22 nt
Filed under: Diaporthe vexans
Lineage: Eukaryota; Fungi; Ascomycota; Sordariomycetes; Diaporthales; Diaporthaceae
Description: partial 28S ribosomal RNA
Source: RNAcentral
UUUGACCUCGGCACAGGUAGGC